Long non-coding RNA from Myotis davidii, 1022 nucleotides. RefSeq lists it as uncharacterized. Lineage: Eukaryota; Metazoa; Chordata; Mammalia; Chiroptera; Vespertilionidae. The transcript has 2 exons. The record is from RefSeq and is a predicted model, not a curated record.
CCCGCAGCCUCGGCCAUACCCGGACGCCUCUCCUCAGCCCUGCCCCACGCACGUCACCAGUGACCGGAACUCGGUGUCUGGCCCCCUCAGGUUUGGGGGCAGCCUGAGGUCCCUCCUCAGGGGCUCCCCCUGCCCGGGGUCCGGGAGUCUCCGCGGUUUUAGCCUCCCACACCCGCCCGCAGGCCUCCGUUCUCAGCUCCUCAGCUGAGCGUCCACCGUCAUCUGAGCCCGCAUCUCGGGGCCCAGAGGGGAGGCUGUGGUUCCGACCCCAGAGCUUCUGCGAGAAAGAGGGCGUCCCCCCAGCUCAGGAGUCACCAGGGCGGGGGAGGGGACAGAGAGGCACGAGCACCUCUCCGCUAGGCCAUGACCUUGAGACUGUGACCUUGAGGCCAUGACCUUUGAGUCUGUGAUCUUUGAGUUGUGACCUUGAGGCUGUGGGGAAUUGGUGUCCUUCCCGGGGGGUGGGAGAAUGCCCAGGUCUGAGAACCCCAGAGUCCACACAUCGUCUGACCUCCCCAGCUCCUGGUUUGAUGGGGGUCCCCAUGAAACACCCCAAUACCCACCCCUGUGUAUCAGAGGCCCAACUCUGAGGGAGAUGGCCCUGCCCCUGACCCGGGGUCCCAAGGUCCUGGGGUCCCGGGGCUGCGGCGACAGUGGCCCCUCCGUCCACACACACCCAGUCCAGUGCCCCGCUGCCAUGCCGCUCGCCCUCACACGGAGGCCCACGGCUCCAGUCCUCCUCUGGGCACCCCUCCCCUCUGCACCCCGAGCUCAGGACCUUCCUGCCCACGCAGGGGUCUCGCCCUGCCUGCCCUCCCCUCCUCUCCCCGGGACCUUCUGUGUCCACGUCACCCCUCCCUUCCGGGCUCCCAGGUCAGAGCAGCAGGAGCAGGGAGGGGUGGCCGCGAUGCUCCCAGGGACAGAAAGAGGACUAGACGGACGGAGCUGGGCCUGGAGGGCUGCGGGCCUGAGCUGUACUCAAGCUGACCCCCCACUUGGUCAAUAAAAGCCAUCAGAAUGGA